AAGACAACUCCCCUCACUCGGUGCAGCCCAGGCACGGAGGCUGGGCGCUGGGCAUCGCUUUGCUGGGAGCUCUGCCUGGCACAGAGCUGUGCCCAGGAGCGGGCACCCAUGGGACACAGCGCAGCCCGGAGCCAGCAUGAGACCGCUGGGAGCGCAAUGACACAGCCCGCUGCUGCCUGCUCACAGCGGUUUGUUAGGAGAUGUACUGUGCUCGUGUACACAUUCAGAAAGAAAAAUCCAUUUCUCAUCUUUGUCGAGAUAGGGAGAGAGAGAAAAACCUUUCCUGCAACAAACAAAUGAACAAAAGACAGCAACAUUCAAGGUCACCGCUAAGUAUAACACAAAGAAUAGGAAAGCGAGCCCAAUCGGCAUCGAGUGCCUGUUUAGACACAGCGGUCUGAUGAGCCCAAUUGCCCCUGACCUAUCCCAUUAACACUCUGCAAACGCAGAGCAUACACCUACAGCUCGUGCGUUUGGAAAACCUCGGCAAGGCGGACCUCCCAGCAACACCAGCCAAAGGCUGCAGGAGCAGGCACGCAGCCCAGCAGCACCCCGACUCCAACACAGACACAAGUCAGAGCAGAGGGGACAUCCGUGCCAGAACGGAGGCAAAACAGCUCUAAUUUGGCUUUUCUGAGCUCCCCGUGGUAUGAAGGCACGAAGUAGCAGGAGCCCACAACUUGGAGCUGGGCUGGCACGCUGCGAUCAGGGCACUGCAGGCCACCCGCGUGAUGAAGAAGCGAGAAAAAACGAUCUCAAGAUCACAGUCUGUCAGAAAAAUGAACGCAUUUUAAACGGCGAAGGACGAACGCGGCGCUCGCUGGCGGGGCCCUCCCCUGCUGCCCUGCAGGAGGUGUGUAAGGCACUGAGACAAAGGCUGGGACGCCCAUCCGGACUCCAGGGACAACAGGGAGAUGGUGCCGAAGCUUGGGUGCACUUCCACCACGUAUUUCACAGCCAGGGAGGCGAAGCUGCACCCCCCAGCGCUGGCCCUGCUCAGGUAACAAGUAACGUGGGAAGCAAACCUUGUCGAGAUGGGAUGCAUGGGCAGCAGAGCAGCACACCGCUCCUUGGUUUGCAGCAAAAAAGAGAAAAAGACAAUGCUUGGGAAGAGCUGAGUGUCCCAGCAGCACAGUGGGGCUGGACUGGGCUGGAAAGCAAAGGGGAAAUGCUUCCCGUUACUGUCACAGCAUUGAUGUUUGCAGCCCGUAGAACUAAGCCACGCUGGGUUGGUAAAGAUUGUCUGGGGAGAGCUGGAGGAGGGAGGACUGGGACCAUCGCUCUCUUUAACUGGGCUUGUUGCUUACCUAUGGCUAAAGCCCAUGGCCAUGUCUUCAGCUAUUUCUGA
Molecule: long non-coding RNA, 1348 nt
Filed under: Numida meleagris (helmeted guineafowl)
Lineage: Eukaryota; Metazoa; Chordata; Aves; Galliformes; Numididae
Description: lncRNA (ENSNMEG00000010935.1)
Source: RNAcentral